Helianthus annuus (common sunflower) is the source of this 2051-nucleotide long non-coding RNA. RefSeq lists it as uncharacterized. NCBI's taxonomy places the organism in Eukaryota, Viridiplantae, Streptophyta, Magnoliopsida, Asterales, Asteraceae. The transcript has 10 exons. The record is from RefSeq and is a predicted model, not a curated record.
UAAACCCUGUUCCUUUUGCACGCUCUUCUCUUCUUUUGAGAAACCCUAAAAUCACAACCAACUUUCUUUGUUUAUGGAUUUCAAAAUCACAACCAGCUUUCUUUGUUUAUGGAUUUCAAAAUCACAACCAGCUUUCAAGCAAAGCAUCACCAUCGUUUAGCCAUAUGUUCAUUCCGGGGAGAAGCACCCAACUUAUUUAGAUACUGUUUAUUCAGAUUCUUGAUACCAAUUUGCUUAUUCAAUUAGCCUUGUUUGUCGUCUUCUACAUUGGCGAUUCGACUGGACUUUCUGCAUCAUCAACACCUAGAGAACAUGCUGGCACAAAGAAUACAACCCCUUCAGCGUUGAACCAUAGGUGUUGAAAACUGUUGAUGUUGCGAUAUUAAACAAUAUAACCCCUCACACGACUAGAAUAAUGGACAGACUAUGUAUUGCAUUUGAGGAAGAGCCUCAACCUUACAUUGAUUGCAUUGCAACUUUCAGGUUUGGUGUGUCAAUGGAAGUUAUUCUAAUUUGUAAUAUCUAUUAAACAAUCAACGUGCUCUACAAAUGGUAUGUUUUCAUUUUUGUAAUCGUCAAUAACAUUUUAUUUUUUCAAUAUAAUUAUUGUCAAUCUAUAUGAAACAUCAAAUUUCUAAGAAAUCCAACAUUUGACACACCAAGUUCUUUUGUCGCAACUGUCCUAUGUCGAUCUGGAGCUCCUAACGAACCUGAUUCCAGUCGGCUUAGAACAUCUCUAACAGAUGUUACAAACGCUUCUUGUGGAAAUUCUAGAUGCUGCAUUUUAAAGGAUAUAUGCUUCAUAAGUUGGUAUAUAAUUUGAGCACACAUUGCUAGUCGGAUGGUCAGUGAGGUAUGUAUAUUUCUUCUUUAGUUUACUUAUUCCACAAGCUUGUGUAAUACUUAUUAUAAAUUUUAUUGUUGCACUUCCAUGCAAUGAGGAGAUAACUAACAGACCAAGAACGUAUCAAGGUAUUCGCUUAUAUUGAAAUAACAAAGAUAUAGCCAGACAACUAAAAGACCAAAAAUGUAUCAAGGAAGAGCCUCAACCGUAUAUUGAUUGCAUUACAACUUUGCAGGUCUGGCGUGUCAACGGAAGUUAUUCUAAUUAAUUUGUAAUAUCUGUUAAAUAGUCAACGUGCUCUACAAAUGAUUUCUAAGAAAUUCAACAUUUGACACACCAAAUUCUUUUGUUGCAACUGGCUUAUGUCGAUCUAAAGCUCAUAACGAACCUGGUUCCAGUCGGCUUAGAAUUUCUCUAACAGAUGUUACAAACGGUUAGUAAAAUGAUGAAAGAUUUACUAUUAAUAGUUAUUAACAAUUUUUUAAUUAUUGUUUUUAACACUUUUUUUGUAUCAAGCUUUCAUCAUUUAUGUUUGUUAUGUUUCUUGAGUAGUAUAUGUUUUUUAGCUUCUUGUGGAAAUUCUAGAUACUGCAUUUUAGAGGAUAUAUGCUUCAUAAGUUGGUAUAUAAUUUGAGCACACAUUGCUAGCCGGAUCCGAGGUCAAUGAAGUAUUCCAUGUGUGGAGGAGAUAAAUAUUAAGACCGGGUGGUGUGGUUUAGCAUCACCCACUACCUCAACGUAUAUCACCCCAAAACAUAAUACCUCCAUUGCUAAAGGGGGCGUUAUUGAUGAUGGCAUCACCAUUGCCUUGACGAGCGUUCAGGUUUGGAUGUGUAGGGAUCACCUUUCAAGAGCCAAUCGUAUUCUUUUUCUCCUUUUUUUUCUUAUUAACAGGUAAAGAAGUUUUAUCCUACUACAUGGUAGUUAAAGGUGGGCCCUGUGUACGUGGUGUUGCGUGAUAAAGACCCUAGGGAGUAGUAGGGGCUUUACCCCACACCAUGCGGCCUAAAUACCAUUGGUGACCUGUUCAUAGACUUGUUCAACCGGAGGCACGGGCGGACCUGUAGUUAAAUUAGCCGUAGUCGGUAAUGUAAAAUUUAUUUUUUUCGAUUUUUAUACAAAGGACACCCCAAAACAACUAUGAGGACACCCCUAAAAAAUUGUAAGCCCAAAUUGUAAUUGUAAAUAAUAAGCCCAAAUCAGUUUA